GUGUAUUGUGUACUGUGGCUAGUGCAGCUGAUGACAAGGAUGGACAGGAGGCGCGUUCACGAGGGCUCGCGCAGGGCGGGGACGCGCGGGCGCAGGGAUGAGUUGGUGAGAGGAACCCGGAUGCUGAUGCUGAUGGAGAGAGAAGAAGGAAGGAGAAGGAGGAGAGGAUAAAAAGAGAAAAUCCACACACAGAGUUAUGAUCCACCGGGCAGAAGAAGCGCUACAGCCGGCGUUUGGAACACGGAGCGUUUAAAGGCAACGGCAAUGAAACAGAAGUGAAGCUGACAGGAAACCGGGAUUCGCCAUUUUUCUCCUCAGGAUGUCCGGUAACCGGGAGACGGGAGCAAAGCGCUGGGAGGAGCUGCUGUGAGGGAGACGAGGAUAAUACUGAACCUGCUCUUCAUCAUCAUCAUCAUCAUCAUCAUCAUCAUCAUCAUGCUGGAUUUCCUCAGAGAAACGCUUUGUAACUAAAAGAGGACAAAAACACAGUGACUGUGAUCCUGCUUAGGAAAUACCUCAAGGCGGCGGUAGUUCUGUCUGUCUCUGUCCCCGGUCUGUCUCUGUCCCCGGUCUGUCUCUGUCUCUGUCCCCGGUGUGUCUCUGUCUCUGUCCCCGGUGUGUCUGUGUCUCUGUCCCCGGUCUGUCUCUGUCUCUGUCUCUGUCUCUGUCUCUGUUCCACACCCGGAUGCGGCCUGGACAACACCGCGGCUCAGCUAACGGGACACACACACACACACACACACACACACACACACACACACACACACACACACACACACACACACAUCCUACUUGGGCUGUUACAAAUUGACUGAAACAGUGGAACAUUUCUAAGAGUCAGAGAUGGAUCUGGUAUUAUGUAUUAGAUGACAGGCUUAUUUAUUUAUUUAUUUAUUUAUUUAUUUAUUUAACCCUAACACCAUAUCAAUGCCAAUAACUGGGUCACUUCCGGCACCAUCUUCACCAUUCAUUUAGAAAUGAUCUUCAGAUUUUUAUGAUCACAGGAAUCUCCUCAUCACAGACUCAGACAAAGCUGGAUCACCUCGGAUCAGGAAACACAGCGACCCGGAAACGAUUCAAACCUUUUCGCCUAUUCAACAAGGCAGCUAAAGAGGAAGAGGAGCAUCAGCAUCAGCAUCAGCAUCACCUGCAUCCCGUCUGUAAUGUCGGACAGGCGCGUGACGUCAUCACGGAGGACGCAGCGACGCCCACUGAACCGGAAGUGACAGUGAUUUCUUUAUUUUUGUGGUCACUCAUUGAAACUGUUCAUUACUGAGCAUCAUGUCCAGUAAAGAGGUGUCCAGCAGUCACCCUGCUCAGUAUGUUGGGCCUUAUCGCCUGGAGAAGACACUGGGGAAAGGACAGACAGGUUUGGUGAAAUUGGGAGUCCACUGUAUCACAGGACAGAAGGUGGCUAUAAAGAUUGUAAACAGGGAGAAACUCUCAGAGUCUGUCCUCAUGAAGGUGGAGAGAGAGAUCGCCAUUUUGAAGCUAAUCGAACACCCACAUGUCCUCAAACUACAUGAUGUGUACGAGAAUAACAAAUAUCUGUAUUUGGUCUUGGAACACGUGUCAGGAGGUGAGCUGUUUGAUUACUUGGUGAAAAAAGGUCGACUGACUCCUAAAGAGGCUCGGAAGUUUUUCAGACAGAUCAUCUCAGCUCUGGACUUUUGUCACAGUCACUCAAUAUGUCACAGAGACCUGAAACCAGAGAACCUGCUGCUGGAUGAGAAGAACAAUAUCAGGGUAGCUGACUUCGGCAUGGCGUCUCUACAGGUGGGGGACAGUCUGCUGGAGACGAGCUGUGGAUCUCCUCAUUACGCAUGUCCUGAAGUUAUUAGGGGGGAGAAGUAUGAUGGUCGUAGAGCAGAUGUAUGGAGCUGUGGUGUUAUCCUCUUUGCUCUGCUGGUGGGGGCGUUACCCUUCGACCAUGAUAACCUGCGGCAGCUCCUGGAGAAGGUAAAGAGUGGUGUGUUCCACAUGCCUCACUUCAUCCCUCCGGAGUGUCAGGCUCUGCUGAGGGGCAUGAUCGAGGUCAACCCUGAGAAACGUCUUACGCUGGAAGCAAUACAGAAACAUCCAUGGUACCUUGGGGGUCGUAAUGAGCCCUGUCCGGAGCAGCCUCCUCCCAGGCGAGUGUGUGUGAAGAGGAUCUUGUCUCUGACAGAGUUGGACCCCGAUGUGUUGGACAGCAUGCACUCUCUGGGCUGCUUCAGAGACAGAGUCAAACUCACACGAGACCUGCAGUGUGAAGAAGAAAACCAGGAGAAGAUGAUCUACUACCUGCUGCUGGACAGGAAGGAGCGCUAUCCCAGUUAUGAGGAUGAAGAUCUUCCCCCCAGAAAUGAUGUUGAUCCUCCUCGGAAACGUGUGGACUCUCCCAUGCUGACCCGUCACGGUCGCUGCCGGCCCGAGAGGAAGAGUCUGGAGGUGCUGAGUGUGACUGAUCAGGGCUCCCCGACGCCACCUCGCAGAGCCCUUGACACCUCCGCACACAGCCAGAGAUCUCGCUCAGUGAGUGGAGCGUCCACCGGUCUGUCCUCCAGCCCCCUGAGUAGCCCGAGAAGUCCAGUUUUCACCUUCAGCCAAUCUGAGGUUGCCUCUGCCACCGCCACCCAAGCCAAAGAUCCCAAAGUGGGAAGCAGCCCCGCCCAUCGGGCAGCCCAGCGCGUGCCUGACCAAAAAACACAGACGCUUCCAUCCAAGGCCGCAACCGAGAGACCACAUCUGCAGUCUAUGAAGUCUCUUCCCCUGCAGACACCACCCUCCCCCUCACCGUCUCCACUGCUCUCCCCCAUCCCUCGUUUCUUCUUCUUCCCCGCUCCCUCCGUCCUGAAGUCUGUCACUAAGUCCAUCUAUCCUAACUCUACCCAUGUGUCGCAGGUUACGCCCCAGGAUUCCCCGCUUCCCACCCCCCUUGGAACCCCCCAGCAUCCCCCUCCUACCCCACCGUCCUCCUCCUCUUCCUCUUCCUCCUCGCGGGCUGAAGGGGGUGGGGCUGGCAGCAGUGCAGGGGGUGGCUCCCUCACCCUCACUCCCCCCUCCAGCCCCGGUGCAGGUGGUGGAAUGGCUGCUAGCAGCUCCGCCCACUGGAGAAGUCGUCUAAACUCGUUCAAGAACAACCUGCUGGGCUCACCACGCUUCCAUCGCCGCAAGCUGCAGGUUCCUACAUCAGAAGACAUGUCCAGCCUCACGCCCGAGUCAAGCCCAGAGUUGGCUAAGAAGUCUUGGUUUGGGAACUUCAUCAGUCUGGAGAAAGAGGAGCAGAUUUUUGUUGUGAUUCAAGACAAACCUCUGAGCUCCAUCAAAGCUGACAUUGUCCACGCCUUCCUAUCAAUCCCGUCGCUGAGCCACAGUGUAAUCUCCCAGACCAGUUUCCGUGCAGAAUACAAAACCUCCGGCAGCUCCUCCGUCUUCCAAAAGCCCAUUAAAUUCCAGGUGGACAUCGCCUUCUCCGAGGCAGAACGGGAACGAGAGCGAGAGAGAGAGGGAAAAAGGGAGACUGGAAUCUAUAGUGUCACCUUUACCCUCAUCUCAGGUCCUAGUCGCAGGUUUAAGAGAGUGGUGGAGACGAUUCAGGCUCAGCUGCUCAGUACUCAUGACCAGCCCUCUGUACAGGCACUUGCUGAUGAGAAGAAUGGGAUCUCCUCUCCUUCACCUGGCACUCCCACUCACCAGAACUCACGUCGCUCUGAAGGGGGCGGAGAACGUUGUGAGAGGGCGGAGCGUACAGAUAUUGCAGGUACAGGUGGCAGUGGUAGCGUCAUCCAACGCAAAGGCUCAGGAAAGGACAAGACACGCCUCCUGUCGUCCAACGGAACCCAGUCCCAGCCUUGAGAGAACUCUCUAGACACACUCGUAUGGAGCGUUGAAUCUGCCCCAACACACAAACCCCUCCCCUUCACUUGCCCAAAAAGUCCCACAACCCCCCAGUCACAGACCCCACCUCAUGGGUUAACCUGCAGCUCCAAUGCAGCUGGGAGAAAACUAGGAGCAUAUUGAAGUGGAAAUGCUCUUACUCACCGACACUGCGAAUCACCUGCAAACAUCAUAAGCUCUCACAGAGCCUGAACUUUGAUGUCACUCACAUGAAGGAUCUUCAGAUUCAAACAGACUUGAAGUAAACGUUUAAUAAUUAAAACUGAACCUCUGAAGGCUAAGCUACAUAUACAAGUUGCUGAUCAUCUGGAUGGAGGUGGGAAAGGUGGGAUUGUCUCCAUUUCAUCAUCAUGUCAUCAUCACUAUCAUCACAGAAAACUCCUUUUUCAAACUCAAAGAAAUGCCACUAAUAUAAACUGCCUUUCUGAAGACACCUUAUUAAUGACAAUGAUCCAGAAUAAGAUGGGAGAACAUGGUCUGAGAACACGGUCUGAGAACAUGGGCUGAGAACACGGUCUGAGAACACGGUCUGAGAACAUGGGCUGAGAACAUGGGCUGAGAACACGGUCUGAGAACAUGGGCUGAGAACACGGUCUGAGAACAUGGGCUGAGAACAUGGGCUGAGAACAUGGUCUGAGAACACGGUCUGAGAACAUGGGCUGAGAACAUGGGCUGAGAACACGGUCUGAGAACAUAGGCUGAGAACACGGUCUGAGAACAUGGUCUGAGAACACGGUCUGAGAACAUGGUCUGAGAACAUGGUGGACCUCGAAGUGUCAUGUUGAGGGACAUUUCUGUAUGAGCAGAAGAGAAAAAAGAUGAUGAAAGUGAAAUGAUGGCUUUGUGUAGAGAACUGAUGACACAAGUAGAGGAUUUGCUCUGUGAAAACAACUUGAUCCCCAACUCAGCCUCUGAGAACGAGCACGCUUUUAAUCUGAUAUUUAAUUUAGUUUCAUGAUAUUUAAAUGUCCUUUAAUCCGUCCAGAAUCAGGACGAGGAGACAAGAAGCUCUAAAAGACUGAAUUCUGUGACCUUCAGAAUGAACAAAUCCAACCAAGUGAAUGUCAAAGAUCAACAAACACACAAGCUACUUUAAAAGUAAUUAUUUACUUUAAGAUGAAAAAUACAAAACAACAAAGAUGACAAGUGAAGAAGAGAACAAAAAAGACUUGGAGAAGAAAUUCACACCUCAUGUUUGUGGCAGUAAAAAUGUGGUGAAAUCAUAAAGAAAUAAAAAGGUUAUAAACUAAACUGACUCUCGGUGAGAAAGAAGAGGAGAAAAAGGAAACGAGGAGACGCGAAGAUCUGCCUUCAGCAUCAGUAAGAAUGUUAACCACUAACUCCCAAAGACAGACAAAUCUCAUGUACUGAAUGUGAGCAGUAUUCACACACACACACACACACACACACGCACACACACACACACACACUCUCUCUCUCUCUCUCUCUCUUUAAGCCCCUCCCCUCUGAUAGGGACACUGUCCAGUUCCUCUUUGCUCCUGUGUUUAACUCCAAUUAUAAGGUGAUGAAUAAAAUAUCUUCACCUUGAAUCUGGACAAGCAGCAACACUGUUAAAGCUUCAGUCCUGAGGCCAUGUUCAGUGGAAUAAAAAGGUUCAGCGAUGAAGUUAUGAGGUAUUUUAGGAGGAAAGAUUUAAGCCUUCAUUUGGAGAGAAUAAAAUCCUUUAAAACUACAGUAUGACUGUAAAUACAGAGUUUGUGUUUCAGAGGCAGAGGCAGAUAACUUUAGGUUCCUCACAUUGCUUUUAUCAUAAAAAAGAAAACUGAUCCUUGCAGAAGGUCAGAACAUUUAAUGUCUUAAAUUCUGCUCCACCUUUAGGCCAAAAGCCUGUUAGAUUUAAACAGUGGCUCUGUAGCAGCAUCACACAGUACAACACACCCAGGAGAGACUGGUGUGAAGAGCACAAAGUGGGUGUGGCUUCCUGCAGAGUGACGUGAGGAAUAAAGCUGAUGGAGCUGAGCUGCUGAUGGACAGAGUGGAGUUGGAGUUAAUGAGUUACUGAACACUCCAAAUGCCUUAAUCACAAGCUGAGCACGUGGAGCUGACUCUGACUCUCCCCACACACACACACACACACACACACACACACACACACACACACACACAUGCUACUGCAACUGGCACAAAUAUUGCAUCUGAUCAUGAAGAAAUUAUUUUGAGAGAGAGAGUGUAAGGUGAGAAGAGAGGCCAUCAUCAUCAUCAUCAUCAUCAUCAUCAUCAUCAUCAUCAUCAUCUCUGACUGACCCUUUGCUGCCCUCAUCGCACAACACUUCGUCUCCUCUCUCUCUCUCUCUGUCUCUCUCUCUCUCUCUCUCUCUCACUCACACACACACACACACACAGUUCUCACUUGUCUCCUUCACAUGUGUAUCAUCAUUUAUAUACCUCAUGUAUCUACUCUCUCUCUCACUAUAAUUCUUUUUACCUUUUAGAUCAUAAUCCUACCUGCCUGUCCCCAUAUACUCCCACAAACUGCACACCCCCUCACCAACACACACCCCCCCCCCCACAAACCCCCAUCCCCCCACACCCUCUCAUCACCAUUCACCCCUGCACUAAUACCUUUCCUCAUCCCCACACCCACAUACCCUGAUUCCCCAGGCCCCCUCAUACCUCCCACCCCCCUCCACACUUUCCCUCACCCCCACACACCCUCUUUGUUCUUUAUCCAUACUAUAUUUAUGAUGAUUAUUGAUUAUCAUGUCAUUGUUAUUGAUUAUAUAUGAUAAGAUUGUAAAUCUGUACCCCCUACAUGCUCCCCUACACACAUCAUUAUACCCUCUACAGCCCCCCCACCCCCCGCCCCACCUCUCACAGCACAGUAGAAACCAUGUAUUCCAAAUGAUGAUGGAAGUCUUUUAUUUUGGUGGAAAACCAUGAAGGAUGAAAAUAAAAUGUCUGUAUUAUAAUUCAAAUAA
This is an RNA transcript of Tachysurus vachellii, 6818 nucleotides long. It is a transcript of the gene named BR serine/threonine kinase 1b, with no coding region annotated. The transcript is spliced from 20 exons. The record is from RefSeq and is a predicted model, not a curated record. Lineage: Eukaryota; Metazoa; Chordata; Actinopteri; Siluriformes; Bagridae.